Verticillium nonalfalfae is the source of this 118-nucleotide non-coding RNA. The record is from the annotation of a RefSeq genome assembly. Lineage: Eukaryota; Fungi; Ascomycota; Sordariomycetes; Glomerellales; Plectosphaerellaceae.
GGUUCGGUGGUGUAGUUGGUUAUCACGUCAGUCUAACAUCCAUCCACGCUGAUCUAGAGCCUUGAUGACGAUCAGAGGAGUUCACCGAAGGUCGGGAGUUCGAGCCUCCCUUGAAUCA